GCAAUCGAGCCCAGAGACGGAUGGAGGGCGGGCGGGCGGCCAGUCCGAGUAACCGAGCGCCGAGUCCCAGCUCCCUGGAUCUACUGACAAACCCUCACCUUCACCUUCAGGCCAGGUCGAGAGGACUUCCCCUCACCACGAAUACCAUGUAAUCCCAUGCUACCUGCUCCAUGGUCGGAUAGUCGGCCACUAAACUGUCUCCCCCAACUGGUUUGCCAGGUGAGGAGGGGGCUGUGGACCCCCAGCAGAACCAAAAACAAGACCUGUAAAAGGGCGGAUGAGCUUCUAGCGAGCCAACAGCCAUCCACACUUCAGUAGAAGUUGCGAUCAUAAGGAAUGAUGAUAAAGUACACACACCAAAAUCCUAUACUUCCAGCGGCGGAAGUCCGCAGGAACUGGAGAACAGAGAUGUGUGGUGCGUCCGUCACCGUUCCCAAUGGAAUCCAGCACUACUGGAUUCUUAAAAUCCGAUUCAGAAACCUGAAAACUUAGGAUAUGUUACUAUAUAUUGUAAAUAACAGUAAUAUAUUAUAAAUAUUGUACGCUAAAUAAAUUG
This is a long non-coding RNA of Leucoraja erinaceus (little skate), 556 nucleotides long. RefSeq lists it as uncharacterized. The transcript is spliced from 2 exons. Lineage: Eukaryota; Metazoa; Chordata; Chondrichthyes; Rajiformes; Rajidae. The record is from RefSeq and is a predicted model, not a curated record.